Long non-coding RNA from Ailuropoda melanoleuca (giant panda), 1397 nucleotides. RefSeq lists it as uncharacterized. The transcript has 7 exons. The record is from RefSeq and is a predicted model, not a curated record. NCBI's taxonomy places the organism in Eukaryota, Metazoa, Chordata, Mammalia, Carnivora, Ursidae.
UUGCCCCUGUCUGAAUGAGCCAAAUUGUAAACCACGAACUGUGAACUCUGGCCCCUAGAUCAGAAUGGAGCUCACUGGCUUGUCAGAGCUGGCUGGCGCUUGGUAACUCUCUUCCCGGGGGAGGGUUGUCGCAGUGCUUUCAGCUCUCCACGGAAUGGACGGAGGUGGUCCCGGGGUCAGCUCCGAGAGGCCAGAUGGCGCAAGCUCGGGUCUCACGUGCUCUACUGUAGUUUUCAGCGUUUAGCUGUCAAAGUAAUUGGACCCUGUGGCCAGAAGUGCAGCAUAUUGUAUUUUUACCCUUAACCCUGGAAAGACCGUGGACUGACUCCUCUCUGCAGGUACCUAGAGGCUUCUGGCAUGCUUCGUGGCAUUGCCUCACCACCCUCCACCUUUACUCACCCUGCAGGAGGGCACAUGGCUCCUAGGGACGUGACUGCUGCCAACGCGAGCAACCUCAGCUGAAGAUACCAGUGCCACAUGGCCACCCCGGUUUAUGUGUUUAUUUGAGAGAGAGAGAGAGAGCACCGGAGCAGGAGCAGGAAGGGCAGAGGGAGAGGAAGAGAGGACGCUGACUCCGUGCAGAGCUCCAGCUGGACUCUGGGCUCAAUCCCACGACCUGUGAGCUCAUGACCUGAGCCAAAACCAAGAGCUGGACACCCAGCUGUCUGUGUCACCCAGGCUCUCCCUUCAUGGUCUUUUUUAGGCCAGCCUCUAUCCUGAUCUAUGGGCAAAAUAUGUUCCCAAGUGUGAGUGAAUCCAACAUUCCACAUAUGAAUGAUGAUGAUUCAGCAAAGAUUCCAGCCCGUACCAUUGGAGGAUCCCGUGGACCUGGGCACCAAGGAGUUUCAAUCAAAUCACCUAUUAGCACGUUAAUGUAAUACCAUGCUCUGGUCUCUAACUGCACAGAAUCCCUGAUGGACCAACAAAUUUAGGUGAACCUGAGAUCUGGCAGCCACUGGUAAAGGCAUGACAGCGAGGCUGGGACCUCACAGGAUUGAGGCGUCUUCUUGGGGAGAGGCAGAGCAGAGAUAGCAGGGCGCACGUGUCCUAGUGUUCCACCAUCAACCUGUUCAGGCUCUGGAGACAUUCAAGAGCUUCCUGAAGAGCACCUCCUUCUUGUGAUCUUCCUCAGCUGUGGAGUGACAGGAAACCUUUCCUGGCUCAUAUCCUGCCUCCCGGAGCUGAUGGGAGGGAUCCAAUUCUUGACAUCGCUUUGGAAAGAGUACACCUCAACACAGGUUGCACUUGGAGAGGCUUUCUCACAUAAAGAUAACUUUGAAAGCUACUUCCCCACACCUCUAACUAUCCCCCCUUCUGUUUUUGUCUAUUGUCUGCAUCAAGAUGGCAGGACUAGAUAUUGUGUGUGAUCAACAGCCUAAUAAAUAAGAAAUGAUUUG